UUAUUUAAAUAUGUGUUAUAUAUGAAAUGAAUUCAAUGCCCUUAAUUGUUUGAGUAUGUGAGAAAUGGCCCUAGGGGCAAAAUAGUAAAUAUGUAUUUUUGGAUUUAUUUUCAACUAAAGGCAUUCUUUGUAAAAAAAUGAAAUUCAUUUUCUGCAUUUACCUUAACCCUAAAACAGCCCCCUUCCCUCUCUCUCUCUCUAUCUCUCUUUGUAUUUGGUUGAAAAAUUGGUGAUUUGCUUGGUAUUCAAGCUUGAAAUUGAAGAAUUGUUUGAGGAGUUGUGGCUUGAUCAUUGCAUUGAAGCUUGAGGAAAGGGUAAAUCUAUCUCUGAUCAGCCAUGAGUAUGGGAGUUGGGCUAUGUAUGUACAUGUUCGGGCCACACUAGACCAAGCGGGUUGGGGUCUACCAGCAUUGAAACUUUUGUAACUCUAUUUUGCCGCUUAGGUCGGCUAAGGAGAAAAGACUUGUAAUGUUUUGUAAAAUGAUUUUUUGGGAUCCCGAAACAUGUAACUUUUGUUUGUAAGGUUAAAAUUAUUACAAGUUUAUUUUCA
Molecule: long non-coding RNA, 550 nt
Organism: Cannabis sativa
Lineage: Eukaryota; Viridiplantae; Streptophyta; Magnoliopsida; Rosales; Cannabaceae
Exons: 2
Source: RefSeq, a predicted model, not a curated record